GCGGAUAUGGUGGAAUUGGCAGACACGUAUGAUUCAGGUUCAUAUGCCUUAACCGGCGUGGGAGUUCGAGUCUCCCUAUCCGCA
This 84-nucleotide transfer RNA is filed under the name Bacillus sp. (in: firmicutes). Its description in RNAcentral is "Bacillus sp. (in: Bacteria) tRNA-Leu". It matches the Rfam family "tRNA". Rfam says of the family: Transfer RNA (tRNA) molecules are approximately 80 nucleotides in length. RNAcentral also lists the same sequence under 5 other names. Lineage: Bacteria; Bacillati; Bacillota; Bacilli; Caryophanales; Bacillaceae. The record is from RNAcentral.